AUUGAACGCUGGCGGCAUGCCUUACACAUGCAAGUCGAACGGCAGCACGGGAGCAAUCCUGGUGGCGAGUGGCGAACGGGUGAGUAAUGUAUCGGAACGUGCCCAGUCGUGGGGGAUAACGUAGCGAAAGCUACGCUAAUACCGCGUACGAUCUAUGGAUGAAAGCGGGGGAUCGCAAGACCUCGCGCGAUUGGAGCGGCCGAUAUCGGAUUAGGUAGUUGGUGGGGUAAAGGCUCACCAAGCCGACGAUCUGUAGCUGGUCUGAGAGGACGACCAGCCACACUGGGACUGAGACACGGCCCAGACUCCUACGGGAGGCAGCAGUGGGGAAUUUUGGACAAUGGGCGAAAGCCUGAUCCAGCAAUGUCGCGUGCAGGAUGAAGGCCUUCGGGUUGUAAACUGCUUUUGUACGGAACGAAACGGCGAACUCUAAUACAGUUUGCUAAUGACGGUACCGUAAGAAUAAGCACCGGCUAACUACGUGCCAGCCGCCGCUGUAA
RNAcentral lists this ribosomal RNA (500 nucleotides) under uncultured bacterium. RNAcentral describes it as "partial 16S ribosomal RNA". It matches the Rfam family "Bacterial small subunit ribosomal RNA", at positions 30 to 523 of the family's 1533-position model. The record is from RNAcentral.